Molecule: long non-coding RNA, 209 nt
Filed under: Capsella rubella
Lineage: Eukaryota; Viridiplantae; Streptophyta; Magnoliopsida; Brassicales; Brassicaceae
Description: long non-coding RNA (CRUB_LNC002068)
Source: RNAcentral
GGAGAUGUGAUAGGAGAUAGGACUCAAUGACCCACCAAGCCACAACAGUUUUAUGACACCACAUGGUAAUGUCCCUGACGAGACCACAAGGAGAUAAGGUUUUCUGUUUUUGUGUUGUGUUUUUGUUUUGGGUUUUGGCCAAACUCUUCAACCAAAUGUCAAAUCCUUUUUGAAUGUUUUUUACGAUUUUUCAUUUUUGGAAGCAUUCA